Molecule: long non-coding RNA, 2549 nt
Organism: Brienomyrus brachyistius
Lineage: Eukaryota; Metazoa; Chordata; Actinopteri; Osteoglossiformes; Mormyridae
Exons: 4
Source: RefSeq, a predicted model, not a curated record
GGUUCAGGUCACAGAAGAAACUCUAAUGUAUGAAGAGCAAAACCCUUUACCAAAACUACUUCUCGAAAAUAAAAUACGUGGAUUGAAGACUGGAUAAAACGUAGAGAGACAUUACUGCAACCUCAAACCCCCCCCCCCCCCCACAGGAAGCAGAGCAGGAGACAUGUUACAAAUGUUGUGAAGACCAUCCCCUGGUGGCAUCAAUCAAAUCCUACCAGCGUCCAUGGUAAUGAGGCGGGGGGGGGGGGGGCUGGAUGAGGUGAUGGGAGAUUAGUCACCGCUCGUUAGUAGAGCUGUGCAUGAGAACAGCCCAGACAGGUGAAAGAGGACAGUUUCAUUACUGUGUGUGUGUUACUCUGCUGAUGUAUGCAUGACAGUGUCCCCCAGCACAGGCAGCACAGUGGUUGGCCAUGUGAACUCUGACACCACACCCCCGACCCACGUCCCUGUGGAUAUGUGGGUGGGUGGGCGCAGGUGGGGAAUAUCUGUCAGCCUCACAGAACAGAUCCUGUGCUCUUCUGCAUGCGUGUGGGGGCGGGGGCUGGCCAGGCAGCCUCUUAGUCCCGCUGGGCACCGAUACAGCAGGUCAAAUUGCAGUAACGUCGUCACACGUUGUUUUUGAUGGGUGGGGUGUUUAAAUGCCAUCCACUGUCUGGAAAUGGAGGUCCAUUACACCCCCCUCACUCUGAACAUACUGUCAGAGACUGAACUGGCCCUUCAGCCCCGUCUCACCAAGAAGACCCACAAUCACAGUUCCACACUGAAGGGAACCGUGUGCCGGAAACGAGAGACUCCGGCCUGGCAGAAGGGCCCAGGCCUGGAACAACGAGGUCACUUCCUCGUCUGGGCCCAGCGGAAGAGCGGGCUACCGCGGCGAGCGUGACCAAUAGGGUGGGGCGAGGAGGCCAACAGGACUCCCGUCUGGCCCGACACCCCCUCCCCAAGCCCGAGGCGUGCCACCGCCCCGCCAAGAAAGAGGUCAUUGAGACAGAGGCAGCUGUGGGCCAAGCAAAACAGCGGCUUCUGGUAACCCCUUGGCACAGAGCUGCAACAAAAUACACGUCAAACUGCCCGCCACUGGGCCGCAUCCUGCUUUUUCAUUUCCCCAUCCCACGGAAAAGAUGGUGACGAGGGAGGCGUGGGCAGGCCAGGGGCACGUUGGGGCUGUGACCAGGCCCCAGCUCCACAUAAUCAAGUUCGACAAGAUCAGGAAAAGCACAGAACUCAGUUUCUGGCCCACUUCACAGAGCCAUGGUUAUAAAGCAAUAUUCCAAUUCUCUGAGCUGAGGAGUACAAACAAAAGCGAUCUACAGCUCUGCUGUGAACCGGGCUGGAUCCUCAGCCAUUAGCAGACACUUUAUAAAAGCAACAAAUUAGCAAAUGGGUAAUAAAGGUAAAAAUGAAAGCUGGGUCACUUUGGAUAAAAGACCUUACCAAGAAACACGUGGCAGUUCCUGCUAAUAUGAGACCUUCAUUUGCUGUGAGGGUCUUCGGAGACUCAGGGCUUCUGCAUAUUGUUUUCAGCUUUGAAACUGAAGACGGGACUGAGAUUUUCCACGUUACAGACCCUUCCUAAGUGUCACAGAGGGGCCCACGGUGAACAGCACUGAUUAAUCGCCUGUCCCCACCGCAGAUAACCAGUAUGAACAGCGCCCCCUGGGAGCAGGAAAGAUACACAAAGUCUCCAUGUAGGGAGGGCCGAUGUUUAAAUCAUUAUUAUCGUCAUUAUUCUUCAAACCACCUAAAUGCCACUGUAGCAGGAUCCACCUCUCCCAGCGGCACAGAGAAGAUGAAGCCAGUUCAAGUUUCUCCUCUUCCUCACUAGCAGGCUGAGCGUGUUCUGGACAGAUGUGAGUAUGACGUGUAUAACUCGCAACGCAAACAUGCUGAAGUUCACCUGAAAUAGCGCUAAAGUAAAAGCAUAACACAGCCACGCCGAUACAGAGGUAAAGGAGGGCCCACCUUACCAGCAUUAAAUGCAGCUGCGUUUGUUCCUUCCCUGCCCCUCUGAUGUCUAAUUUGUCCCACCGAGCGUGUAGAUGGGAGCAGCAGCAAGACCUCACACAGCAAAUCCCAGAGCUGAUAGUUAAACGGAGCCCAGAGGAGGCGGAGCUCGGACCAGCUGCCUUGGACAUCAGCAGCACGACUAGGCCCCGCAUCUGCAGGUUGUUUCUGCUGUCAUGCACAAAGCCCCUGGAGACGGGACAAGACAGGCGUCCAUCAAGCAAAAUCCUGCCCACAAGAGCCGUACAUUACAGGGAUUUUGGGUUAAGUACUUCGUCACAGGAGAUGCCUGAAGUAGCGGAUCCUCCCAUGAGACCUGAGAACGGCGUUUCUCCGCCACCGAAACUGCGGUGACCACCUUCCACAACUGCGGGUGACCGACCCAGCAAACAGACGGACUGGAGAUCUGGGAUUUAAGCUCGCUUCUGCGAUCAGCCUGGCCGUAACAAGCACCAAGGGGCGAUGCCUUCACACCCACCGGCCCACCCACACCCACCGGAAGUGCCAAGGCAGAACGGACCGUACCUGGCGGUGUUCAGCAGCGG